GAGAAAUAUAAUGAAGUAACCGUGAAAGCUAAAACAUCAGACUGAUCCAGACACUGAAGAAAUUGAUGUCACUGCAAUCUGGCCAAAAUGAUACAACUAUAUUGAAGUAACCUACUGUAAUGAAGCUGCAGAACAACACAGAGACUCUGAGGACAUCAACACAGAAAAUUAAGGCUCCAAAGAGAUGUCUGUCCAGAUGAGGGUGCAUCAACGUUACCUUUGCUGACAAGUAUAUGCUUUACAAUGUAAAACCUAACAGUUAACUUAACUCAAACCAUUUAAGGAAAUCGGUUGCCUUAACCCAUUAAGUUUAAAAAAAAAACAUACAUUUGAGUACUGUGAACUUAAGUCUUGUGCAAUAAUGCACUUAUAUUUAGUUAGUGUGAACUUAAAUAUAAGUGCAUAACUGCAUGUGACUCAAUUUGUUUAAGUUCACAGUACUCAAAUCUAUGUGUUUUAAAACUUAAAUGGUUUAAUGCAACCGGUUUUCUUAAAUGGUUUGAGUUUAGUUAACUUUUAGGUUUUACAGUGAGAAAUUCUUGAAUAAUUCCA
Molecule: non-coding RNA, 552 nt
Organism: Paramisgurnus dabryanus
Lineage: Eukaryota; Metazoa; Chordata; Actinopteri; Cypriniformes; Cobitidae
Source: RefSeq, a predicted model, not a curated record